This 563-nucleotide ribosomal RNA is filed under the name uncultured bacterium. Its description in RNAcentral is "partial 16S ribosomal RNA". It matches the Rfam family "Bacterial small subunit ribosomal RNA", at positions 355 to 910 of the family's 1533-position model. The record is from RNAcentral.
UGGGGAAUUUUGGACAAUGGGCGAAAGCCUGAUCCAGCAAUGCCGCGUGUGUGAAGAAGGCCUUCGGGUUGUAAAGCACUUUUGUCCGGAAAGAAAUCCUUGGCUCUAAUACAGUCGGGGGAUGACGGUACCGGAAGAAUAAGCACCGGCUAACUACGUGCCAGCAGCCGCGGUAAUACGUAGGGUGCAAGCGUUAAUCGGAAUUACUGGGCGUAAAGCGUGCGCAGGCGGUUUGCUAAGACCGAUGUGAAAUCCCCGGGCUCAACCUGGGAACUGCAUUGGUGACUGGCAGGCUAGAGUAUGGCAGAGGGGGGUAGAAUUCCACGUGUAGCAGUGAAAUGCGUAGAGAUGUGGAGGAAUACCGAUGGCGAAGGCAGCCCCCUGGGCCAAUACUGACGCUCAUGCACGAAAGCGUGGGGAGCAAACAGGAUUAGAUACCCUGGUAGUCCACGCCCUAAACGAUGUCAACUAGUUGUUGGGGAUUCAUUUCCUUAGUAACGUAGCUAACGCGUGAAGUUGACCGCCUGGGGAGUACGGUCGCAAGAUUAAAACUUCAAAUGGAA